ACUCGACUCGAUGAAGACAUCGACGAAGAUUCUUUUAAUCAAGUAGGUGCCGGCAUCAGUAGGGACGAAGCAAGAACUGUAGUCGUAGAUCAGUAAGUAAUCCCAUCAUCAGUCAGAGUCGUAGGUGAAGCAUGAGAGUAGAUCAGUAUUUUACUUUUUAUAUAGUUGCGAAUUCUGGCAACCCAAGCUAUGAGUGGUCCAAUUGAGUCCAAAAGUCUCUUUUGUAUAGCUGGCUAAAGUGGUUAAAUAGCUGGUGAAUCUAGCGAACUACUCUUUUUAUGUCAAUCUUCCCAACGGCGGAGACAGUGAGACUCUCUUUAAGACGUGUUAAGUCAUGCUUGUAGGGAGUGAAAUCCACUGUUGAGAGAAAGCCCCCGUAUGGAAAUAUUUCAUAUGUCCAUCAAGCAUGGUC
This 412-nucleotide long non-coding RNA is filed under the name Panax ginseng (ginseng). RNAcentral's name for it is "long non-coding RNA (PGIN_LNC005103)". The record is from RNAcentral. Lineage: Eukaryota; Viridiplantae; Streptophyta; Magnoliopsida; Apiales; Araliaceae.